This 467-nucleotide ribosomal RNA is filed under the name uncultured bacterium. RNAcentral's name for it is "partial 16S ribosomal RNA". It matches the Rfam family "Bacterial small subunit ribosomal RNA", at positions 29 to 507 of the family's 1533-position model. The record is from RNAcentral.
ACGAACGCUGGCGGCGUGCUUAACGCAUGCAAGUCGAACGGAAAGGCCCUGCUUUUGUGGGGUGCUCGAGUGGCGAACGGGUGAGUAACACGUGGGUAACCUGCCCUUGACUUUGGGAUAACUUCAGGAAACUGGGGCUAAUACCGGAUAGGAGCUCCUGCUGCAUGGUGGGGGUUGGAAAGUUUCGGCGGUUGGGGAUGGACUCGCGGCUUAUCAGCUUGUUGGUGGGGUAGUGGCUUACCAAGGCUUUGACGGGUAGCCGGCCUGAGAGGGUGACCGGCCACAUUGGGACUGAGAUACGGCCCAGACUCCUACGGGAGGCAGCAGUGGGGAAUAUUGCACAAUGGGCGGAAGCCUGAUGCAGCAACGCCGCGUGCGGGAUGACGGCCUUCGGGUUGUAAACCGCUUUCGCCUGUGACGAAGCGUGAGUGACGGUAAUGGGUAAAGAAGCACCGGCUAACUACGUG